GUCCAGACUCCUACGGGAGGCAGCAGUGGGGAAUAUUGCGCAAUGGGGGAAACCCUGAUGCAGCGACGCCGCGUGAAGGAAGAAGUAUUUCGGUAUGUAAACUUCUAUCAGCAGGGAAGAAAAUGACGGUACCUGACUAAGAAGCCCCGGCUAACUACGUGCCAGCAGCCGCGGUAAUACGUAGGGGGCAAGCGUUAUCCGGAUUUACUGGGUGUAAAGGGAGCGUAGGCGGUUUAGCAAGUCAGAAGUGAAAGCCCGGGGCUCAACUCCGGGACUGCUUUUGAAACUGUUGAACUAGAUUGCAGGAGAGGUAAGUGGAAUUCCUAGUGUAGCGGUGAAAUGCGUAGAUAUCAGGAGGAACACCGGCGGCGAAGGCGGCCUGCUGGACCGCGACUGACGUUGAGGCUCGAAAGCGUGGGGAGCGAACAGGAUUAGAUACCCGCGUA
This 446-nucleotide ribosomal RNA is filed under the name uncultured bacterium. RNAcentral's name for it is "bacterial SSU rRNA". It matches the Rfam family "Bacterial small subunit ribosomal RNA", at positions 329 to 792 of the family's 1533-position model. The record is from RNAcentral.